AAAACCCUUUAUUCGAACGAAACAGUGAAGAAGAUAGAGAAGAAGAUAGGAGGAAGAAGAAAAAAAGAAAGAAAAACAUUUGGCCAUUCGAUUUCGAUUUUGACUUUGGUGUAUGUUGGAGGUGAUUUGGGUGAGAUUGCAAAAGCUAGGGAGUGUCGAUAAGAGAUAAGCAGUAUGCAUGGCACAUCCGAGACAGACGUCUCGGGAUAUAGAAAGACGGGUUGUUUGGGUGAACUUACAUCUAUUUGUAUUAUAUGUAAAUUUUUAACCGGAAAAACCUCUUGUUUAGGAGCG
Andrographis paniculata is the source of this 294-nucleotide long non-coding RNA. RefSeq lists it as uncharacterized. The transcript has 3 exons. Lineage: Eukaryota; Viridiplantae; Streptophyta; Magnoliopsida; Lamiales; Acanthaceae. The record is from RefSeq and is a predicted model, not a curated record.